RNAcentral lists this ribosomal RNA (253 nucleotides) under uncultured bacterium. Its description in RNAcentral is "partial 16S ribosomal RNA". It matches the Rfam family "Bacterial small subunit ribosomal RNA", at positions 524 to 776 of the family's 1533-position model. The record is from RNAcentral.
UCCGUAGGGUGCAAGCGUUAAUCGGAAUUACUGGGCGUAAAGCGUGCGCAGGCGGCUUUGCAAGACAGAUGUGAAAUCCCCGGGCUCAACCUGGGAACUGCAUUUGUGACUGCAUCGCUGGAGUGCGGCAGAGGGGGAUGGAAUUCCGCGUGUAGCAGUGAAAUGCGUAGAUAUGCGGAGGAACACCGAUGGCGAAGGCAAUCCCCUGGGCCUGCACUGACGCUCAUGCACGAAAGCGUGGGGAGCAAACAGG